Molecule: ribosomal RNA, 405 nt
Filed under: uncultured bacterium
Lineage: Bacteria
Description: partial 16S ribosomal RNA
Rfam family: Bacterial small subunit ribosomal RNA
Source: RNAcentral
AUUGAACGCUGGCGGCAGGCCUAACACAUGCAAGUCGAACGAGUGGCGGACGGGUGAGUAAUGCCUGGGAAUCUACCUUAUGGAGGGGGAUAACUACGGGAAACGGUAGCUAAUACCGCGUACCAUAGGAUGAGCCCAAUUGGGAUUAGGUAGUAGGUGAGGUAAAGGCUCACCAAGCCGACGAUCCCUAGCUGGGCUGCGAGGAUGACCAGCCACACUGGGACUGAGAAACGGCCCAGACUCCUACGGGAGGCAGCAGUGGGGAAUAUUGCGAAAUGGGGGCAACCUGACGCAGCCAUGCCGCGUGAAUGAAGAAGGCCUUCGGGUUGUAAAGUGCUUUCGGUAGCGAGGCGUUAACUACAGAAGAAGCACCGGCUAACUCCGUGCCAGCAGCCGCGGUAAUAC